RNAcentral lists this ribosomal RNA (492 nucleotides) under uncultured bacterium. Its description in RNAcentral is "partial 16S ribosomal RNA". It matches the Rfam family "Bacterial small subunit ribosomal RNA", at positions 30 to 507 of the family's 1533-position model. The record is from RNAcentral.
AUUGAACGCUGGCGGCAGGCCUAACACAUGCAAGUCGAACGGCAGCACAGUAAGAGCUUGCUCUUACGGGUGGAGAGUGGCGGACGGGUGAGGAAUACAUCGGAAUCUACUUUUUCGCGGGGGAUAACGUAGGGAAACUUACGCUAAUACCGCAUACGACCUACGGGUGAAAGCAGGGGAUCUUCUGACCUUGCGCGAUUGAAUGAGCCGAUGUCGGAUUAGCUAGUUGGCGGGGUAAAGGCCCACCAAGGCGACGAUCCGUAGCUGGUCUGAGAGGAUGAUCAGCCACACUGGAACUGAGACACGGUCCAGACUCCUACGGGAGGCAGCAGUGGGGAAUAUUGGACAAUGGGCGCAAGCCUGAUCCAGCAAUACCGCGUGGGUGAAGAAGGCCUUCGGGUUGUAAAGCCCUUUUGUUGGGAAAGAAAAGCAGCAGGUUAAUACCCCGCUGUUAUGACGGUACCCAAAGAAUAAGCACCGGCUAACUUCGUG